GCAUAUCAAUAAGCGGAGGAAAAGAAACUAACAAGGAUUCCCUUAGUAACGGCGAGUGAAGCGGGAAGAGCUCAAAUUUGAAAUCUUCAAGGUUCUACCUUGACGAAUUGUAGUUUAAAGAAGUGUUUUCUGUUAGAUGAGUAGCAAAAGUUCCUUGGAAUGGGACAUCAUAGAGGGUGAGAAUCCCGUAUUUGGUUAUUCAUUCUGGCUUUGUGAUGCACUUUCAAAGAGUCGGAUUGUUUGGGAAUGCAGUCCAAAAUGGGUGGUAAAUUUCAUCUAAAGCUAAAUAUUGGCGAGAGACCGAUAGCGAACAAGUACCGUGAGGAAAAGAUGAAAAGAACUUUGAAAAGAGAGUUAAACAGUACGUGAAAUUGUCAAAAGGGAAGCGUUUGACACCAGUGUUGUUUUUCCGAAAAUCAAUUACGAAUGGCUUGAUUUUGUGUUGUAUUGACCUUAUCAGCUUUCUGCACUUUUUUCGAGUCUUUCUUAAUGUACUUUUCGGUUAACAAGUCAACAUCAAUUUCUUUUGUUGUAAAAGAGUAUUCGGAAGGUGGCUUUCUUUUCGGAGAAAGUGUUUAUAGCCCUAUACUUCUACAAUCGGAGAGAUUGAGGUCUGCAGCGUAGAUCCUUCGGGGUUAGAUACAUCUGUGCUAAGUUGUAGCUUUUCAUAGACAACUUGUUGACUAUGUUUAGUCAUGCGGCUUACUCGCUUAUGCUAUUUUACCUACGCUUAGGAUGUUGACAAAAUGGUUUUAAACGACCCGUCUUGAAACACGGACC
RNAcentral lists this ribosomal RNA (780 nucleotides) under Neocallimastix frontalis. Its description in RNAcentral is "partial large subunit ribosomal RNA". It matches the Rfam family "Eukaryotic large subunit ribosomal RNA", at positions 38 to 667 of the family's 3401-position model. The record is from RNAcentral. Lineage: Eukaryota; Fungi; Neocallimastigomycota; Neocallimastigomycetes; Neocallimastigales; Neocallimastigaceae.